GUGGGGAAUUUUGGACAAUGGGCGCAAGCCUGAUCCAGCAAUGCCGCGUGCAGGAAGAAGGCCUUCGGGUUGUAAACUGCUUUUGUACGGAACGAAACGGUCCGGGUUAAUACCCUGGGCUAAUGACGGUACCGUAAGAAUAAGCACCGGCUAACUACGUGCCAGCAGCCGCGGUAAUACGUAGGGUGCAAGCGUUAAUCGGAAUUACUGGGCGUAAAGCGUGCGCAGGCGGUUUUGUAAGACAGGCGUGAAAUCACCGGGCUCAACCUGGGAAUUGCGCUUGUGACUGCAAGGCUGGAGUGCGGCAGAGGGGGAUGGAAUUCCGCGUGUAGCAGUGAAAUGCGUAGAUAUGCGGAGGAACACCGAUGGCGAAGGCAAUCCCCUGGGCCUGCACUGACGCUCAUGCACGAAAGCGUGGGGAGCAAACAGGAUUAGAAACCCGGGUAGUCC
RNAcentral lists this ribosomal RNA (450 nucleotides) under uncultured bacterium. Its description in RNAcentral is "partial 16S ribosomal RNA". It matches the Rfam family "Bacterial small subunit ribosomal RNA", at positions 354 to 796 of the family's 1533-position model. The record is from RNAcentral.